GAGCUCUGCCAAGAGAGAAAGGAGGUGGUGGGAUGCAGGGAAAAAGAUGGGGAAAUAAUUAAUGUACAGCUCGCUUACAGCCUCUGGCCCCCGUGGACUGCCAGGUCCAUCAGUGGGAUUCCAGCCCCAAAAUUUGGGUUUUUUCUUUUGCUGUUUUCCGUGGUUGUGAUUGUGGAUUUGCCUGCUGGGAAUACCACAUUUAGGAGGAACGCUUUUGUUUGUUUCCUCAGGCUUUCCUAAUGAAAUUGGGCGGCCUUUUGCAAGCAGGGUCCGUAAAAAAUAAGGAAUAUUUCCUCAUAAAGUCAGUGCAAUUACCUCCCCAACGGACAUUUGUCAUGGCUUAAGCUCUCUAUAUUCAUGUGCUUGGACUCCUUUUGAGGAAUAAACAGAACAAUGGAAGAAAGGUCUUUACAUGAGAAAAAAAAAUAUUUUUUGCAGUUUACGCAUCUGUGAUGCUUUCCCACCCCAGAAAUGAGCUCCUGUGGGGCCAGGAGUAGCACUCCUUGGAACAGAACCCAAAUCCUGCUGCCCCAGUGCCCUUCUCCAGUGACACAGAGCUUUCUGCACUAUAAAUACCCACACAAGCUGCUCUGCCCCUGCUAAUACCUGGCAUUUAUAGGUCCUGCCUUAUUCAGCCUGUCCCCAGCCCUGGGGCAUCUGUUCCUGCUCAGACCCAGCACAGAUCACCGCACGAGUGAUUGGUUCACCGAUGGAGCAAAGCCCUUGCUGGGAAACAAAUCUAGGGGUGUUCUCACAGGCGAUGCUCCAGCUCCAGAACAAGGGAAGCCUUCCCAGGCACUCACCACAGUGGCAUUUGUGCGGUAUGUUGUAGGAACAAAAUUGAUUUUAGAAGCUGCCAGAGCAUCCCCAGCGCCGUCCUCGGUGCUCAAUACCGUGGUGCUGGAUGCUCUGGAUGUUUGCAUGGCCAUUUUUUAAUGGAUUAGCCUCGGGCUGCCUUCUCUGGCUCCGCAGGGAGGUGUCCCCGCGGUGCUGAUGAUCGUUCUCAUCUCCUGCAGUGAUUAACUCUCAUUGAUGUCUCAGGACGAGGACUAAUUAGUCGGCAGAGCCUGGAUUGCCAUGCUCUGUUAUCCCCAAGCUGCCUUUCCUGUCCUCCUCUAUCCUCAGCCCCAUCCUCGGAGGGAUCUGGGGGGUGAUCAGUGACUCCACAGCAUCCUGAUACCAGUUUGGAAGGGGGGGUGAGAGCAGAACCUUCAAGGUGCAGAAGGUAUAAGGAAAAAUUGAUAUUUUGGGGUCUGAACUAAUGCUUGCAAUGAGGUGUGAGCUCAGGGGAGAGUCUUGGUGCUUUGCUCCCUCUGCAGCAGCCUGGGGGCUCCUGGAGCAUCCCAGAGGGUUGGAAGUAGCAGUCCCUUACCUCUCAGCUGGCUGAAGGUGGUGAUGAACCGGCUGGUGAUGGACUUGAGCUCAUUGUUGGCCAGGGAGAUGCGCUGGAUCCCCUCGGUGACGCUCCUCAUGGCUUUGUAGAUUCCAACAGGGAAGGUCAUCAGUUUGCAGCUGGCCAGAUCUGCGCACAGAGGGGCCCAGACAAGGGUCCAACAACUUCAGUCCUCCUGCUCCCCUGUGUCCCUAAUUCCCUGGGGGUAGCUGAGCAGCCCGGGGAUGCUUAUUCCACCGCUGAAGAGGAUGGAUUUCCCUGGGCAUGCUCCUGGCUGGAUUCCUCAUGGUCAUGGGUGGUUAUCCCAUGGCAAGCGGUGGGGACAGGAAAAAAGAUUUGGUUGUGCUUCUCACCUCGUGGUCUUCUUGUUUUGUCCUGAGUUGUUUCUGUUUCGCCUCUCAGGAAACUCCACGGAUAGAAAACCUGUAUCUCAGCCCCAGGAUGGGCUCUGCUUCCUGCCCCCUUCCCAAAGCCACCACAGGGCUGAUGUUCCAUCCUCCACGUUUCUCUCAGGAGGAUGUGGAGAGCCUGAGCAAUGAAGCUCCAGCUCCCGGCACACGCUGGUUUAUAUCCCAGGGCCGGGAAUCCAGUGGGAAUAAAAAUGAGUGGCUUUCA
Taeniopygia guttata (zebra finch) is the source of this 2008-nucleotide non-coding RNA. NCBI's taxonomy places the organism in Eukaryota, Metazoa, Chordata, Aves, Passeriformes, Estrildidae. The record is from RefSeq and is a predicted model, not a curated record.